This is a non-coding RNA of Cinara cedri, 911 nucleotides long. The record is from the annotation of a GenBank genome assembly. NCBI's taxonomy places the organism in Eukaryota, Metazoa, Arthropoda, Insecta, Hemiptera, Aphididae.
GAUAGGUUCUUUUGAAUUUAAUCUUUCAAAUUAUUAAAGGGACAUCUAAAUUAUCGAUAAUUCAAUAAACUCGUUAUAUAAUAAUAUAAUAUAAUGUCAACAGUUAAAACUUGAAUUAACACUUGUAACGUUUCGAAAUACAAAUAAUUAUAAUAAUAUAACUUAUUAAAUAGGAAUUACAUUCUAAACCGCAGAGAUUUAGUGCGUUAUACUAAUAAUCUAAAUUGGCGCUUUACAAUAACAAUUUUAUACCUUUUAUAUAAUUUACGGAAAAGCAAUUCAGUAUUUGUCAAACACUUAAUAUAUUUUAGACAUAACAUUGUUACACAUGCUAGAAGUACUAUUUAUUGUGGUCACAAUGAUGUGCUACAAACAUCUUUUGUUCGAUCAAUCGAAGGUCGAACUACAAUUUGUAUUAAUAUGGUAAUAUGUAAUACCGUAAUCGCAAUAAAAUAAAAAUAGAUAAAUUAAUAGAUUAAUCGAUAUUUUCUCAAUAUGUUACAUUCUUUAAGUGCAUUACAAAUACAACGUUUAGUGUCUGAGAUGCAUAAAAUGUUUUGUUAAAUUUAUUUAAUAGUAGGAUUUGUCGAAAGCAUAUACGGUUCAUGAAAUAAUGUAAGAUGGUUUGUAACUUGGUUUACUGAUUAGACGUUGAUUUACUAAACUAAUUACCUAGAGAAAUGAUUAUAAUACAUCGAUAACAUCACACUUUAAAAUGCGCACAAAUAUGAAAAUUGUAUCGUUAUACUAUAGGAAAAUAUAAUUUGUUGAGACUAUAAAGCUUUCAGUACACUAAAUAUAUAAAUAAACCAAUAUUUUAAGUGUUUUAUAGCCAAAUUUGGAUCUCUUAUGGAGUUAAUAGAUUUAAUAGUUUUAAUGAUUUGUUAAAGAUCUAAUAAUGGUUUAUUCAA